UGGGGAAUCUUGCGCAAUGCGCGAAAGCGUGACGCAGCAACGCCGCGUGGGGGAAGACGGCUUUCGGGUUGUAAACCCCUUUCAGGAGGGACGAAGGUUCACCGGUUAAUAGCCGUGUGGAUUGACGGUACCUCCAGAAGAAGCUCCGGCUAACUACGCGCCAGCAGCCGCGGUAAUACGUAGGGAGCAAGCGUUGUCCGGAAUCAUUGGGCGUAAAGCGCGCGUAGGUGGCUCUGUAAGUCCGUUGUGAAAGUCAAAGGCUCAACCUUUGAAAGCCGAUGGAUACUGCAGAGCUAGAGUCCGGAAGAGGCGAGUGGAAUUCCUGGUGUAGCGGUGGAAUGCGCAGAUAUCAGGAGGAACACCAACAGCGAAGGCAGCUCGCUGGGACGGUACUGACACUAAGGCGCGAAAGCGUGGGGAGCGAACAG
RNAcentral lists this ribosomal RNA (428 nucleotides) under uncultured bacterium. Its description in RNAcentral is "bacterial SSU rRNA". It matches the Rfam family "Bacterial small subunit ribosomal RNA", at positions 355 to 775 of the family's 1533-position model. The record is from RNAcentral.